Molecule: ribosomal RNA, 327 nt
Filed under: Triticum aestivum (bread wheat)
Lineage: Eukaryota; Viridiplantae; Streptophyta; Magnoliopsida; Poales; Poaceae
Description: partial small subunit ribosomal RNA
Source: RNAcentral
AUGCAACUCCGGUGGCGUCGAGGACGGCUGCAUCGUAGCUCUGGCGGCAUCUAUGACUGCUGCAUAGCACUCCGGCGGCUGCUGCAUUGUAGCUCCGACGUCGUCGUCGUCCGCUGCAUCAUAGCUCCGGCUCGUCGAUGUCGUCCACUGCAUCGUAGCUCAAAUAGCGUCCAGGCCGCCGCUGCCGUGCUUGGAGCGGGACAGUGGGAGCUGUGGGUGGUGCGUGUGUUGUGCGAGGGGAAGAUGGCAUCGAGGGGAAGUGCCAUCCGUGGGACACCAAAGGGACGGCCACGAUGUGCUCCAUCGAAUGGUUAUCAAGGCGGCUGA